RNAcentral lists this long non-coding RNA (564 nucleotides) under Elaeis guineensis (African oil palm). RNAcentral's name for it is "long non-coding RNA (EGUI_LNC032458)". Lineage: Eukaryota; Viridiplantae; Streptophyta; Magnoliopsida; Arecales; Arecaceae. The record is from RNAcentral.
AAAGAAAUAUGGGUUAUAAAAUUAAUCUAAGCUAAACCCUAAUAAGUGAAAACUUAAUGUAAGAUGAGAAAUCACCUUCAUGGAAAUGAAGGACCAGUCACUGCACAAUGCCACUUCUCGCCGACUGGCAGAUGACCACUCUCACCAAGGUCACUGAUAUUCAAUCAUUGAAAAGAGACAUCCUAAAUAAAGAAGGGCAUGAACUGAAAAGAAAGCCUUGUCCACAUAAGCCUUUUCUACCAUAUAAGUCUGUGACAUGAUCUCAUGUGACCAAUCUAUAAUGACAAUCAGAUAGUAUCCAUAGCCUGAGUAAAAAUUAAAUUUUUUUGAAAGUUCGAUAAUCUGAUUAUACUAAAUUAAAGUUCAAGAUGAAAUUAAAAAUUCUCAAAUAAUUUAAAAUUAUUUUCAUGAUUAUUUUUUUUUAAAUUUACAAAAAUAGAAAGUCCAAGGUCUGAUCCAAAAUCUGAAGCUUGCAUUAAAUCUAAGCUUGGACCUAAAGGGUCAGCCCAAAGGUUGGAUCAGAGCCUAAGUAAAUCAUGUUAAUCUUUGGCCAAAACCCGGCUA